This 21-nucleotide non-coding RNA is filed under the name Caenorhabditis elegans. Lineage: Eukaryota; Metazoa; Nematoda; Chromadorea; Rhabditida; Rhabditidae. The record is from RNAcentral.
UGAAACAUCGGAUUAUCUGAC